Molecule: ribosomal RNA, 253 nt
Filed under: uncultured bacterium
Lineage: Bacteria
Description: partial 16S ribosomal RNA
Rfam family: Bacterial small subunit ribosomal RNA
Source: RNAcentral
UACGUAGGGCGCAAGCGUUGUCCGGAAUCAUUGGGCGUAAAGGGCGCGUAGGUGGCUUCUUAAGCGUGCGGUGAAAGCCUGGGGCUCAACCCCGGGUCGGCCGUGCGAACUGGGGGGCUGGAGCACUGUAGAGGCAGGCGGAAUUCCGGGUGUAGCGGUGGAAUGCGUAGAGAUCCGGAAGAACACCGGUGGCGAAGGCGGCCUGCUGGGCAGUUGCUGACACUGAGGCGCGACAGCGUGGGGAGCAAACAGG